RNAcentral lists this ribosomal RNA (1359 nucleotides) under uncultured bacterium. RNAcentral describes it as "bacterial SSU rRNA". It matches the Rfam family "Bacterial small subunit ribosomal RNA", at positions 28 to 1381 of the family's 1533-position model. The record is from RNAcentral.
GAUGAACGCUAGCUACAGGCUUAACACAUGCAAGUCGAGGGGCAGCAUUUCAGUUUGCUUGCAAACUGGAGAUGGCGACCGGCGCACGGGUGAGUAACACGUAUCCAACCUGCCGAUAACUCGGGGAUAGCCUUUCGAAAGAAAGAUUAAUACCCGAUGGUAUAAUCAGACCGCAUGGUCUUGUUAUUAAAGAAUUUCGGUUAUCGAUGGGGAUGCGUUCCAUUAGGCAGUCGGUGAGGUAACGGCUCACCAAACCUUCGAUGGAUAGGGGUUCUGAGAGGAAGGUCCCCCACAUUGGAACUGAGACACGGUCCAAACUCCUACGGGAGGCAGCAGUGAGGAAUAUUGGUCAAUGGGCGCAGGCCUGAACCAGCCAAGUAGCGUGAAGGAUGACUGCCCUAUGGGUUGUAAACUUCUUUUAUAUGGGAAUAAAGUUUUCCACGUGUGGAAUUUUGUAUGUACCAUAUGAAUAAGGAUCGGCUAACUCCGUGCCAGCAGCCGCGGUAAUACGGAGGAUCCGAGCGUUAUCCGGAUUUAUUGGGUUUAAAGGGAGCGUAGGUGGACAGUUAAGUCAGUUGUGAAAGUUUGCGGCUCAACCGUAAAAUUGCAGUUGAUACUGGCUGUCUUGAGUACAGUAGAGGUGGGCGGAAUUCGUGGUGUAGCGGUGAAAUGCUUAGAUAUCACGAAGAACUCCGAUUGCGAAGGCAGCUCACUGGACUGCAACUGACACUGAUGCUCGAAAGUGUGGGUAUCAAACAGGAUUAGAUACCCUGGUAGUCCACACAGUAAACGAUGAAUACUCGCUGUUUGCGAUAUACAGUAAGCGGCCAAGCGAAAGCAUUAAGUAUUCCACCUGGGGAGUACGCCGGCAACGGUGAAACUCAAAGGAAUUGACGGGGGCCCGCACAAGCGGAGGAACAUGUGGUUUAAUUCGAUGAUACGCGAGGAACCUUACCCGGGCUUAAAUUGCAUUUGAAUAUAUUGGAAACAGUAUAGCCGUAAGGCAAAUGUGAAGGUGCUGCAUGGUUGUCGUCAGCUCGUGCCGUGAGGUGUCGGCUUAAGUGCCAUAACGAGCGCAACCCUUAUCUUUAGUUACUAACAGGUCAUGCUGAGGACUCUAGAGAGACUGCCGUCGUAAGAUGUGAGGAAGGUGGGGAUGACGUCAAAUCAGCACGGCCCUUACGUCCGGGGCUACACACGUGUUACAAUGGGGGGUACAGAAGGCAGCUACCUGGUGACAGGAUGCUAAUCCCAAAAGCCUCUCUCAGUUCGGAUCGAAGUCUGCAACCCGACUUCGUGAAGCUGGAUUCGCUAGUAAUCGCGCAUCAGCCAUGGCGCGGUGAAUACGUUCCCGGGCCU